This 549-nucleotide ribosomal RNA is filed under the name Variovorax sp. S3.CEL.018. Its description in RNAcentral is "bacterial SSU rRNA". It matches the Rfam family "Bacterial small subunit ribosomal RNA", at positions 20 to 563 of the family's 1533-position model. The record is from RNAcentral. Lineage: Bacteria; Pseudomonadati; Pseudomonadota; Betaproteobacteria; Burkholderiales; Comamonadaceae.
UGGCUCAGAUUGAACGCUGGCGGCAUGCCUUACACAUGCAAGUCGAACGGCAGCACGGGAGCAAUCCUGGUGGCGAGUGGCGAACGGGUCGAGUAAUACAUCGGAACGUGCCCAAUCGUGGGGGAUAACGCAGCGAAAGCUGUGCUAAUACCGCAUACGAUCUACGGAUGAAAGCAGGGGACCGCAAGGCCUUGCGCGAAUGGAGCGGCCGAUGGCAGAUUAGGUAGUUGGUGAGGUAAAGGCUCACCAAGCCUUCGAUCUGUAGCUGGUCUGAGAGGACGACCAGCCACACUGGGACUGAGACACGGCCCAGACUCCUACGGGAGGCAGCAGUGGGGAAUUUUGGACAAUGGGCGCAAGCCUGAUCCAGCCAUGCCGCGUGCAGGAUGAAGGCCUUCGGGUUGUAAACUGCUUUUGUACGGAACGAAACGGCUCUUUCUAAUAAAGAGGGCUAAUGACGGUACCGUAAGAAUAAGCACCGGCUAACUACGUGCCAGCAGCCGCGGUAAUACGUAGGGUGCAAGCGUUAAUCGGAAUUACUGGGCGUAA